Molecule: microRNA precursor, 188 nt
Filed under: Sorghum bicolor (sorghum)
Lineage: Eukaryota; Viridiplantae; Streptophyta; Magnoliopsida; Poales; Poaceae
Description: MIR1435 microRNA precursor family
Rfam family: MIR1435 microRNA precursor family
Source: Rfam by way of RNAcentral
UAGUUUUGUCCUAAGUCAAACAUCUCUCGUUUUGAAAACAUAUAUCAACAUCUACAAGUUCAAAUAAAUGCACCGUCAAGUCAUAUUUCACGGAUAAUUUAAUAAUACUAAUCCGAUGCUAUAGAUGUUGAUGCAUUUUUCUGUAAACUUGGUCAAAACUAGAGAGAUUUGACUUAGGGCAAAACUAA